RNAcentral lists this ribosomal RNA (373 nucleotides) under uncultured eukaryote. RNAcentral's name for it is "partial 18S ribosomal RNA". It matches the Rfam family "Eukaryotic small subunit ribosomal RNA", at positions 592 to 976 of the family's 1831-position model. The record is from RNAcentral.
CAAUAGCGUAUAUUAAAGUUGUUGCAGUUAAAAAGCUCGUAGUUGAAUUUUUGCUUGCCGCCGAUGUCGGAACUUCCGUACGUUCGGCGGCGUGCAUCCUUGGGUGGAACCUGUGUGGCAUUAGGUUGUCGUGCAGGGGAUGCUCAUCGUUUACCGUGAAAAAAUUAGAGUGUUCAAAGCAGGCUUACGCCGUUGAAUAUAUUAGCAUGGAAUAAUAAGAUAGGACCUUGGUACUAUUUUGUUGGUUUGCGCACCGAGGUAAUGAUUAACAGGGACAGUUGGGGGUAUUCGUAUUCCAUUGUCAGAGGUGAAAUUCUUGGAUUUCUGGAAGACGAACUACUGCGAAAGCAUUUACCAAGGAUGUUUUCAUUAA